UACGGGGGGGGCAAGCGUUGUUCGGAAUUACUGGGCGUAAAGGGCUCGUAGGCGGCCAACUAAGUCAGACGUGAAAUCCCUCGGCUUAACCGGGGAACUGCGUCUGAUACUGGAUGGCUUGAAUCCGGGAGAGGGAUGCGGAAUUCCAGGUGUAGCGGUGAAAUGCGUAGAUAUCUGGAGGAACACCGGUGGCGAAGGCGGCUUCCUGGACCGACACUGACGCUGAGGCGCGAAAGCUAGGGGAGCAAACGGG
RNAcentral lists this ribosomal RNA (253 nucleotides) under uncultured bacterium. RNAcentral describes it as "partial 16S ribosomal RNA". It matches the Rfam family "Bacterial small subunit ribosomal RNA", at positions 524 to 776 of the family's 1533-position model. The record is from RNAcentral.